This 432-nucleotide ribosomal RNA is filed under the name uncultured bacterium. Its description in RNAcentral is "partial 16S ribosomal RNA". It matches the Rfam family "Bacterial small subunit ribosomal RNA", at positions 29 to 507 of the family's 1533-position model. The record is from RNAcentral.
AACGAACGCUGGCGGCAUGCCUAACACAUGCAAGUCGAACGAGACCUUCGGGUCUAGUGGCGCACGGGUGCGUAACGCGUGGGAACCUGCCCUUAGGUUCGGAAUAACUCCCCGAAAGGGGUGCUAAUACCGGAUAAUGUCUUCGGACCAAAGAUUUAUCGCCUUUGGAUGGGCCCGCGUUGGAUUAGCUAGUUGGUAGGGCAAAAGCCUACCAAGGCGACGAUCCAUAGCUGGUCUGAGAGGAUGAUCAGCCACACUGGGACUGGGACACGGCCCAGACUCCUACGGAGGGCGGCAGGGGGGAAUAUUGGACAGUGGGCGAAAGCCUGAUCCAGCAAUGCCGGGUAAGUGAUGAAGGCCUUGGGGUGGUAAGCUCUUUUACCCGGGAUGAUAAUGACAGUACCGGGAGAAUAAGCUCCGGCUAACUCCGUG